Molecule: long non-coding RNA, 673 nt
Filed under: Rattus norvegicus (Norway rat)
Lineage: Eukaryota; Metazoa; Chordata; Mammalia; Rodentia; Muridae
Description: long non-coding RNA NONRATT022746
Source: RNAcentral
AGACACUCAGGUCUAAUCUAGUUCCUUGUUCCUCUUGUGAAUUCUCAGCCACCUUCAACCCUGCUCCGGAACUGUGGCCUCUUAACCCGCCGUUCCCUGCAGGUUCUCUCUGCUUCUGCCCAGAAGUAGGGCAAAGAGCUUUUUCCCCACUCAGAGCUGACCUUUCACCCAGCACUGGGCCUCCUGCUAAGCCUCUUGUUUACUGCGGGCUCACCAGGGAUGUGUGUCAGACGGUCACCAGCCGUGCUCUUGGCAGAGGAGCUGGGGCACUGACCUGUUCCUCCCCCUUUUCCACAGGUAUGUCUCCUGUGCCCUCGGAUGUCCCUACGAGGGGAAGGUCUCCCCGGCUAAAGUUGCUGAGGCCACCUCCUUGGCAGGUCUCUCUACCCCACCUGAAAGCCCCAGUCCAGCUUCCAGUCUCAUCAGCUAAGGCAUGAUCUCCAGUGUGGUGUUCCCCAGGAACCCCCCAGCUUCCUUGGAGUAGGUCGCCAAGAAGUUGUACUCAAUGGGCUGCUAUGAGAUCUCCCUUGGGGACACCAUUGGCGUAGGCACGCCAGGACUCAUGAAAGACAUGCUGACUGCUGUCCUGCAUGAAGUGCCUGUGGCCGCAUUGGCUGUCCACUGCCAUGACACCUAUGGCCAAGCUCUGGCCAACACGUUGGUGGCCCUGCAG